AGAGUUUGAUCAUGGCUCAGGAUGAACUCUAGCGGCAGGCUUAACACAUGCAAGUCGAGGGGCAGCAUAAUGGAUAGCAAUAUCUAUGGUGGCGACCGGCGCACGGGUGCGUAACGCGUAUGCAACCUACCUUUAACAGGGGGAUAACACUGAGAAAUUGGUACUAAUACCCCGUAAUAUCAUAGAAGGCAUCUUUUAUGGUUGAAAAUUCCGGUGGUUAGAGAUGGGCAUGCGUUGUAUUAGC
This 244-nucleotide ribosomal RNA is filed under the name uncultured bacterium. RNAcentral's name for it is "partial 16S ribosomal RNA". It matches the Rfam family "Bacterial small subunit ribosomal RNA", at positions 8 to 245 of the family's 1533-position model. The record is from RNAcentral.